GGUCAAUGGGUGCAAGCCUGAACCAGCCAUCCCGCGUGAAGGACGACUGCCAUAUGGGUUGUAAACUUCUUUUGUAUAGGGAUAAACUUACCCUCGUGAGGGUAGCUGAAGGUACUAUACGCAUAAGCACCGGCUAACUCCGUGCCAGCAGCCGCGGUAAUACGGAGGGUGCAAGCGUUAUCCGGAUUUAUUGGGUUUACAGGGUCCGUAGGCGGACUUAUAAGUCAGUGAUGAAAGCCUGUCGCUUAACGAUAGAACUGCCAUUGAUACUGUAAGUCUUGAGUAUAGUGUGGGUAGCUGGAAUAAGUAGUGUAACGGUGAAAUGCAUAGAUAUUACUUAGAACACCAGUUGCGAAGUCAGGUUACCAAGAUAUAACUGACGCGGAGGGACGAAAGCGUGGGGAGCGAACA
RNAcentral lists this ribosomal RNA (411 nucleotides) under uncultured bacterium. RNAcentral's name for it is "bacterial SSU rRNA". It matches the Rfam family "Bacterial small subunit ribosomal RNA", at positions 366 to 774 of the family's 1533-position model. The record is from RNAcentral.